Molecule: ribosomal RNA, 253 nt
Filed under: uncultured bacterium
Lineage: Bacteria
Description: partial 16S ribosomal RNA
Rfam family: Bacterial small subunit ribosomal RNA
Source: RNAcentral
GACAGAGGUGCCAAGCGUUAGGCGGAAUCACUGGGCUUAAAGCGUGUGUAGGCGGAUGCCUAAGUACCUUGUGAAAUCCCACGGCUCAACCGUGGAACUGCUGGGUAUACUGGGUGUCUUGGGUCAGCUAGGGGUUGCCGGAACAAAUGGUGGAGCGGUGAAAUGCGUAGAGAUCCGGAGGAACACCAAAGGCGAAGGCAGUGUCCUGGGGAGUACCUGACGCUCAGGUGCGAAAGCCAGGGGAGCGAACGGG